Long non-coding RNA from Manihot esculenta (cassava), 592 nucleotides. RefSeq lists it as uncharacterized. The record is from RefSeq and is a predicted model, not a curated record. The transcript has 2 exons. NCBI's taxonomy places the organism in Eukaryota, Viridiplantae, Streptophyta, Magnoliopsida, Malpighiales, Euphorbiaceae.
UAAAAAUAAAACCAAAGGCAUAUGCAAAGGCAAGUGAUGGGGCUCUCCAUAAUGCAAGGGAUUUGUAGGGAAGGGAGAGUUCUACAUGGGAUGGGAAGAAGAAAGCAAAGCAAAGCAAAGCAAGAAUAAACAGCGAUUUACUGAGCUGACAAGGGUUGGUUUUUAGGGUUUUUAUCAAGCUGCAGCCAGUUCUUGUAAAAGCUACCUUUGCACGGGGGAGAUAAGCUCACAAGCUCACGCUCCUCGACAAUAGCUUCUUGGGUCUUGCUCUCUAACAGGCAGCAACAAGUUCCUAGAAGGGUUAGACAUGUCCACCAUAUGUUCAAUUACCAAAAUAUCCUCAAACUGAGUUUCGAGCAGCGGUUCAAGGAGGAUAUUUUAAUUAAUACUGUAGCAAAUAGAAGAACUUUCUCUUCAUUUCUAGUUUCCUUCUGAGUUGCUUCGCUUACUGGUUUUUCCAAGUUAAUUAUGAGUAGAGAUUUUCUUUUAUUGGUUAACGGAAACUUCUAUUGAGCGUCUUCUUCACUUGAGCACUGUAUUUGUACAUGCUACAGAUUGAAAGCAACUAUUAAUCAUGGUGUCCUUUUCUUUA